RNAcentral lists this ribosomal RNA (449 nucleotides) under uncultured bacterium. Its description in RNAcentral is "bacterial SSU rRNA". It matches the Rfam family "Bacterial small subunit ribosomal RNA", at positions 29 to 507 of the family's 1533-position model. The record is from RNAcentral.
AACGAACGCUGGCGGCAUGCCUAACACAUGCAAGUCGAAUGAGACCCCUGACUUCGGUUGGCGGGUCUAGUGGCGCACGGGUGCGUAACGCGUGGGAAUCUGCCCUUGGGUUCGGAAUAACUCAGAGAAAUUUGAGCUAAUACCGGAUGAUGACGAAAGUCCAAAGAUUUAUCGCCCAGGGAUGAGCCCGCGUAAGAUUAGCUUGUUGGUGGGGUAAUGGCCUACCAAGGCGACGAUCUUUAGCUGGUCUGAGAGGAUGAUCAGCCACACUGGGACUGAGACACGGUCCAGACUCCUACGGGAGGCAGCAGUGGGGAAUAUUGCGCAAUGGGCGAAAGCCUGACGCAGCAACGCCGCGUGGGUGAAGAAGGUCUUCGGAUCGUAAAGCCCUGUCAGGAGGGACGAAACAAAUGACGGUACCUCCAAAGGAAGCACUGGCUAACUCCGUG